This is a long non-coding RNA of Cryptomeria japonica (Japanese cedar), 170 nucleotides long. RefSeq lists it as uncharacterized. The transcript has 2 exons. The record is from RefSeq and is a predicted model, not a curated record. Lineage: Eukaryota; Viridiplantae; Streptophyta; Pinopsida; Cupressales; Cupressaceae.
UGACAAAAAGGAAAUAUCUGAGAUCUAAUUUGGGGGACCCACAGCUGAACAAUGUCUUAAGAAGUUUUAGGUUUCAGGAAAAAAUAACUAUGUUCUUCAUAUAGCAUUCAAUUUCAGAGCGGAAUUUAAACAAAACACCUCUGCAAAUUUAAAAAUAUGGACCGGUUCCA